UGUUGGCCAAGAUGGUCUCGAUCUCCUGACCUCGUGAUACGCCCGCCUCGGCCUCCCAAAGUGCUGGGAUUGCAGGCGUGAGCCACUGCGCCCGGCGGAAUUGCAAAAAGCCUUGCAGCAGCUACAAGAAGAAUUGCAGAAUGAGAGCCAACAGCUUCGUGCCCAGGAGGCUGAAAAAUACAAUGAGAUUCGAACCCAGGAACAAAACGUCCAGCACCUAAACCAUAGUCUGAGUCACAAUGAGCAGUUGCUUCAGGAAUUUCGGGAGCUCCUACAGUAUGGAGAUAACUCAGACAAACCCCUUGAAGCAAAUGAAAUGUUGCUUGAGAAACUUUGCCAGCGAAUACAUGAUAAAGCUGUUGCUUUGGAGAGCACUCCCAGGAAACAGAAAGCCUGAGGGAGGCUCUGCUGUCCUCUCGAUCCCACUUUCAAGAGCUGGAAGAGGAGCUGGAGCACCAGAAGGUGGAAAGGCAGCAGCUUUUGGAAGACUUGAGGGAG
Molecule: long non-coding RNA, 498 nt
Organism: Pongo pygmaeus (Bornean orangutan)
Lineage: Eukaryota; Metazoa; Chordata; Mammalia; Primates; Hominidae
Exons: 4
Source: RefSeq, a predicted model, not a curated record